GAAAAGUGUUAUAAAACGAGCUGCCAUGUAACAGUUGGAGUGUCGGGCCGAGGGCCGGAGCCUGUCUGAUCCACAUCCACAGUCCACAUAACACAGGCGGGGGUCAGCGCGCCUGGAGGGGGACCAGUUUCCACUGACUUUGCAAGUGUGGUGGACCCCAUCCGCAGAGAGGCCAGGACCUUAACCUAAAGCAGUGCUGCUUCUUGACCUCUUUCAGGUCCUGACACAACACAGAAACCAGGCUGGUGUUUGCAACUCCCCCACUGGAUCUCAUAACAUCCUGAAAGUGGCAAAAUGACAAGACUGUUUAUUUCAAAAUCGACACUAAAGCAAAUCAUAUUACCAGCACAGGCAAUGUAAUGUAAAAACUAUUCCCCAAUUUAAUACGUUAUUUUAUAUUAUUUAUUUAUUUAUUUAUUUAUUUAUUUGUCCUCCACCAUCUGGCGACCCCUGGAAAUUAUCUCAUGACUGCCUCCAGGGCCCCGAUCCUCAGGUUGAGAACCAUUGACCUAGUUUACAUAUGAAAAAAAAAAAAUCUGUGAUCUAUCAGCACUAUUAAGAUCAGUAAGGUAAGAAGGGCUCAGACUGUUUUAAGUGUGUUUAGAGUCAGUAGAGACGGUGAAUAGUGGUGAUAUAAGAAUCAGAAACACUUUAUUAAUCUACGCAGGGUAAAUGGGGUUAACACAAAGAUACUCUGUCUACAAUAAGAAUGGCACAGUGUAGAGGAAAUAUAAGAAAAAUAUGAAACAGAGAAUCAGUUCAUAGAAAAUAAGAGUAAGAAUUUACAAAAUAUGAAAAAGAAAAAUGUAAAAAAAAAAAAAAAAAUCUGUGCAUUACUUUGAUAACUGAUGUCAGGGCUGCAGAUUAAUGUUUCAUACUGGUUCCAUACGUGUGCCCAACUUCUUCACUUAGGUGAACCAGCACAUUAUUUUGGUACACCUAAUACUACAUUCAAAUGAAAUUCCUAACACGUUAUGUAAAUGAUUGUAAACAUGAAUAAAAGUGAAAAUACAUGUUUCUCUUGAAUUACAGCUCUUGCAAAGAAAAAAA
Molecule: long non-coding RNA, 1050 nt
Organism: Acanthopagrus latus (yellowfin seabream)
Lineage: Eukaryota; Metazoa; Chordata; Actinopteri; Spariformes; Sparidae
Exons: 2
Source: RefSeq, a predicted model, not a curated record